RNAcentral lists this transfer RNA (75 nucleotides) under Rhodospirillaceae bacterium. RNAcentral's name for it is "tRNA-Val". It matches the Rfam family "tRNA". From Rfam's summary of the family: Transfer RNA (tRNA) molecules are approximately 80 nucleotides in length. Lineage: Bacteria; Pseudomonadati; Pseudomonadota; Alphaproteobacteria; Rhodospirillales; Rhodospirillaceae. The record is from RNAcentral.
GGGCGCGUAGCUCAGCGGGAGAGCACUACGUUGACAUCGUAGGGGUCGCUGGUUCAANCCCAGCCGCGCCCACCA